UACGGAGGAUCCGAGCGUUAUCCGGAUUUAUUGGGUUUAAAGGGUGCGCAGGCGGCACGGCAAGCCGGCGGUCAAAUCGCGGGGCUCAACCCCGCCCAGCCGUCGGAACUGCCGGGCUAGAGUGGGCGAGAAGUGCGCGGAAUGCGUGGUGUAGCGGUGAAAUGCAUAGAUAUCACGCAGAACUCCGAUUGCGAAGGCAGCGCACCGGCGCCCUACUGACGCUCAGGCACGAAAGCGUGGGUAUCGAACAGG
Molecule: ribosomal RNA, 252 nt
Filed under: uncultured bacterium
Lineage: Bacteria
Description: partial 16S ribosomal RNA
Rfam family: Bacterial small subunit ribosomal RNA
Source: RNAcentral